GGAGUCGGCCAGGCAGUCGCUGCAUCGUCUCGAUGUGGAGGAAAGUCCGGGCUCCAAAGGGCAGGGUGCCAGGUAAUGCCUGGGGGGCGCGAGCCUACGGCUAGUGCCACAGAAAAUAUACCGCCUAAGCACCUUAAGGGUGCCGGUAAGGGUGAAAAGGUGCGGUAAGAGCGCACCGCGCGGGUGGUAACAUGCCGCGGCAGGGUAAACCCCACCCGGAGCAAGACCAAAUAGGGGGCAUCGAUGUGGCCCGCAUCGCUCCCGGGUAGGUCGCUUGAGGCGCGCGGCGACGCGCGUCCCAGAGGAAUGGCUGCCCACGACAGAACCCGGCUUAUCGGCCGGCUCCCACU
RNAcentral lists this RNase P RNA (350 nucleotides) under Alkalilimnicola ehrlichii. RNAcentral's name for it is "Bacterial RNase P class A". It matches the Rfam family "Bacterial RNase P class A". Rfam says of the family: Ribonuclease P (RNase P) is a ubiquitous endoribonuclease, found in archaea, bacteria and eukarya as well as chloroplasts and mitochondria. The record is from Rfam by way of RNAcentral. Lineage: Bacteria; Pseudomonadati; Pseudomonadota; Gammaproteobacteria; Chromatiales; Ectothiorhodospiraceae.